Molecule: ribosomal RNA, 266 nt
Filed under: uncultured bacterium
Lineage: Bacteria
Description: partial 16S ribosomal RNA
Rfam family: Bacterial small subunit ribosomal RNA
Source: RNAcentral
CGGGCCUACGGGACGCAGCAGUGAGGAAUAUUGGUCAAUGGUCGGGAGACUGAACCAGCCAAGCCGCGUGAGGGAGGAAGGUACAGAGUAUCGUAAACCUCUUUUGUCAGGGAACAAAGACUGGGACGCGUCCCCGGAUGAGUGUACCUGAAGAAAAAGCAUCGGCUAACUCCGUGCCAGCAGCCGCGGGAAUACGGAGGAUGAGAGAGUUAUCCGGAUUUAUUGGGUUUAAAGGGUGCGCAGGUGGUUUGUUAAGUCAGCGGUCA